Molecule: ribosomal RNA, 468 nt
Filed under: uncultured bacterium
Lineage: Bacteria
Description: partial 16S ribosomal RNA
Rfam family: Bacterial small subunit ribosomal RNA
Source: RNAcentral
GACGAACGCUGGCGGCGUGCUUAACACAUGCAAGUCGAACGGAAAGGCCCUGCUUUUGUGGGGUGCUCGAGUGGCGAACGGGUGAGUAACACGUGAGUAACCUGCCCUUGACUUUGGGAUAACUUCAGGAAACUGGGGCUAAUACCGGAUAGGAGCUCCUGCUGCAUGGUGGGGGUUGGAACGUUUCGGCGGUUGGGGAUGGACUCGCGGCUUAUCAGCUUGUUGGUGGGGUAGUGGCUUACCAAGGCUUUGACGGGUAGCCGGCCUGAGAGGGUGACCGGCCACAUUAGGACUGAGAGACGGCACAGACUCCUACGGGAGGCAGCAGUGGGGAAUAUUGCACAGUGGGCGGAAGCCUGAUGAAGCAACGCCGCGUGCGGGAUGACGGCCUGCGGGUUGUAAACCGCUUUAGCCUGUGACGAAGCGUGAGUGACGGUAAUGGGUAAAGAAGCACCGGCUAACUACGUG